AGGUGGCUAGCACUAAGCUAGGAAUGGUGUUUGCUGCUCUUUCCAAAACGAUUUUUGCAUGUUUCUCUUUUCUCUGGGCUCAGCCAUGCUUUUGUUCUGUGGUUGUGUCACAAUGCCCGGGGUUGGGAGCUCCCAUGCCUCUGCCUGCCCUGGGGAAAGGGAAGAGGGCUUUGUUCCUUCUUUCACAUCUCUAUUACUCUGUGUGUGCUGCUAUGCAGUGAUGCUUGGACACUGCCUCAGUUGCUGUGGGGUGUGUUUUGCCCGUUUCUGACUGGUAGGAGUGCAGGACAGAAGCAAGGCAACGGCACUGAGCUCUGCCCCAAGCUGGGACCAGCCCAGAGGCAGCAGGAAGGUGGAGGAGGAGAUGGAGGAUGAGCAGUGGUCUGCCCAUUACUGUGGGGCUGUGCUCUGCAGCACCCAGCAACGCUCAGAACUGAUGCAUUAAAAACACCUUCAAAAAGCAGCUCUUUAAUGGGAGAGAUGCGCUUGCUGAGACCUGGCUGCUUUCAGAAACUGCGGUGAGCUUCAAUGCAACAGCACAGCGUGAUUGAAGGAGGGGGAGCAGUGACGAUGGGAUUAGGUAAGCGCACUCCUUUAUUCAUCCCUCACUUUUAUUGCCAAAAACCUAAAUAAGCAUCAAACUCGCUCCUUUUAUUGCAGAAGGUUUUAGCUCCCAAUAAGCAGCUGGAGUCAUCUCUUUGAAAUCCUUACAGAUAAGGUGGGGAGGAGAAGGGACAGUGUUUCCAGAGGGUCCUGCGGGGCUACUUCUGUUCUAGCACGAAUGGGAACAAAGGUGUCCUGAAAUCUCCCUCCUCUUUUCCUUGGUCUUUUUUUUUUUUUUUUUUUAAUUUCCUUGGUAUUUCUGAUACAUAUUUUAAACUUCAUUAUUCAUUUUUCCUUUAUUUUCUUCCUGGGUGACCUAGGUGUAUAUUGCUAAUGAUUUUUGGGGGGAUGGGGAGAGAGGUAGAACAAGCCUAGGGCUUAAUUCUUCUUUCGAUUUACAAAAAGAAAGCUGUUUCCCCUUCAAAGGCUGUUGCAUGCUGGUAGUAGAGGUUUGCCUGGCUGCAUUCUUACUGCUUACAGCCUUGGGAAGAUGACACAAUGAGAGCAGAAAUGGGAAUCUGCACUGUGUGCAUUUCCUUUGAAGCCUGGACUUUGUGAGGCGAUGUUAUAUUAUCGAUUCUUUGGCUUUUAAAAGGAAUAUUCUGCUUUUCUAUCAGCUCUGUUGUGCUCUCAGGCCCUGGGAGCACCAGUCAGAAGUCCUGGCUCAUGAGGGCAAAGCAUUUAUGGCUGCUGUCCUCUGACUCUUUGUAGCUAAUCUGUUUGGUUUGAAAGAGCAGUGCAGUGCACUGGGAUAUGUCCUUCCCUGGAGGGAUGCAGUAAUCC
Molecule: long non-coding RNA, 1386 nt
Organism: Gallus gallus (chicken)
Lineage: Eukaryota; Metazoa; Chordata; Aves; Galliformes; Phasianidae
Exons: 3
Source: RefSeq, a predicted model, not a curated record